Molecule: ribosomal RNA, 497 nt
Filed under: uncultured bacterium
Lineage: Bacteria
Description: partial 16S ribosomal RNA
Rfam family: Bacterial small subunit ribosomal RNA
Source: RNAcentral
GAUGAACGCUGGCGGCGUGCCUAAUACAUGCAAGUCGAGCGAACAGACGAGGAGCUUGCUCCUCUGACGUUAGCGGCGGACGGGUGAGUAACGCGUGGAUAACCUACCUAUAAGAGGGGGAAAAUUUCGGGAAACCGGAGCUAAUACCGGAUAAUCUAUUGAACCGUAGGGUUGAAUAGUGAAAGACGGUGUUGCUGGCACUUAUAGAUGGAUCCGCGCCGCAUUAGGUGGUUGGUAAGUUAAAGGCUUACCAAGGCAACUAGGCGUUGGCGAGGGGUUAGGGUGAUAGCCCACCUGGGAGCGUGAACACGGUCCAUGCUCCUACGAGAGGCAGCAGUAGGGUACCUUCCGCAAUGGGCGAAAGCAUGGCGGAGCAGCCCGGCGUGAGAGAUGAAGGCCUUCGGUUCGUAAAACUCUCUUAUUAGGGAAGAACAAAUUUGUAAGUAACCGUGCACUUAUUGACGGUACCUAGUCAGAAAGCCACGGCUAACUACGUG